GACGAACCGUGCUAACGUUAUUCGGAUUCACUGGGCUUAAAGCGCGUGUAGGCGGGCCAGCACGUCGGUCGCUGAAAUCCCCCGGCUUAACCGGGGAACGGGCGCCGAUACGACUGGCCUGGAGGGAGGUAGGGGGAGCCGGAACUCACGGUGGAGCGGUGAAAUGCGUUGAGAUCGUGAGGAACGCCCGUGGCGAAAGCGGGCUCCUGGACCUUGCCUGACGCUGAGACGCGAAAGCCAGGGGAGCGAACGGG
This 254-nucleotide ribosomal RNA is filed under the name uncultured Singulisphaera sp. Its description in RNAcentral is "partial 16S ribosomal RNA". It matches the Rfam family "Bacterial small subunit ribosomal RNA", at positions 524 to 776 of the family's 1533-position model. Lineage: Bacteria; Pseudomonadati; Planctomycetota; Planctomycetia; Isosphaerales; Isosphaeraceae. The record is from RNAcentral.